GACGAACGCUGGCGGCGUGCUUAACACAUGCAAGUCGAACGGAAAGGCCCUGCUUUUGUGGGGUGCUCGAGUGGCGAACGGGUGAGUAACACGUGAGUAACCUGCCCUUGACUUUGGGAUAACUUCAGGAAACUGGGGCUAAUACCGGAUAGGAGCUCCUGCUGCAUGGUGGGGGUUGGAAAGUUUCGGCGGUUGGGGAUGGACUCGCGGCUUAUCAGCUUGUUGGUGGGGUAGUGGCUUACCAAGGCUUGGACGGGUAGCCGGCCUGAGAGGGUGACCGGCCACAUUGGGACUGAGAUACGGCCCAGACGCCUACGGGAGGCAGGAGUGGGGAAUAUUGCACAAUGGGCGGAGGCCGGAUGCAGCAACGCCGCGUGCGGGAUGACGGCCUUCGGGUUGUAAACCGCUUUCGCCUGUGACGAAGCGUGAGUGACGGUAAUGGGUAAAGAAGCACCGGCUAACUACGU
This 467-nucleotide ribosomal RNA is filed under the name uncultured bacterium. Its description in RNAcentral is "partial 16S ribosomal RNA". It matches the Rfam family "Bacterial small subunit ribosomal RNA", at positions 28 to 506 of the family's 1533-position model. The record is from RNAcentral.